This 23-nucleotide non-coding RNA is filed under the name Arabidopsis thaliana (thale cress). Lineage: Eukaryota; Viridiplantae; Streptophyta; Magnoliopsida; Brassicales; Brassicaceae. The record is from RNAcentral.
AGGAACGCCUCUCGAAUCCCUCU